This 479-nucleotide ribosomal RNA is filed under the name uncultured bacterium. RNAcentral's name for it is "bacterial SSU rRNA". It matches the Rfam family "Bacterial small subunit ribosomal RNA", at positions 28 to 496 of the family's 1533-position model. The record is from RNAcentral.
GACGAACGCUGGCGGCGUGCUUAACACAUGCAAGUCGAACGGUGAUCUUGAGAGCUUGCUCUUGGGUGAUCAGUGGCGAACGGGUGAGUAACACGUGAGUAACCUGCCCCUGACUCUGGAAUAACUUCGGGAAACCGAAGCUAAUACCGGAUAUGACACAGAGCCGCAUGGUUUCUGUGUGGAAAGUUUUUCGGUUGGGGAUGGACUCGCGGCCUAUCAGCUUGUUGGUGAGGUAAUGGCUCACCAAGGCGACGACGGGUAGCCGGCCUGAGAGGGCGACCGGCCACACUGGGACUGAGACACGGCCCAGACUCCUACGGGAGGCAGCAGUGGGGAAUAUUGCACAAUGGGCGAAAGCCUGAUGCAGCGACGCCGCGUGAGGGAUGACGGCCUCGGUUGUAAGUUCUUUUAUAUGUGAGCAGUGCUUCUUAUAUUAACAGUAUGGGAGAGAGAUAUUAGCAUAUAGAAUAAGACAACGG